RNAcentral lists this ribosomal RNA (500 nucleotides) under uncultured bacterium. RNAcentral describes it as "partial 16S ribosomal RNA". It matches the Rfam family "Bacterial small subunit ribosomal RNA", at positions 30 to 523 of the family's 1533-position model. The record is from RNAcentral.
AUUGAACGCUGGCGGCAGGCUUAACACAUGCAAGUCGAGCGGGGUGAUGGUGCUUGCACUAUCACUUAGCGGCGGACGGGUGAGUAAUGUCUGGGGAUCUGCCCGAUAGAGGGGGAUAACCACUGGAAACGGUGGCUAAUACCGCAUAACGUCGCAAAACCAAAGAGGGGGACCUUCGGGCCUCUCACUAUCGGAUGAACCCAGAUGGGAUUAGCUAGUAGGCGGGGUAACGGCCCACCUAGGCGACGAUCCCUAGCUGGUCUGAGAGGAUGACCAGCCACACUGGAACUGAGACACGGUCCAGACUCCUACGGGAGGCAGCAGUGGGGAAUAUUGCACAAUGGGCGCAAGCCUGAUGCAGCCAUGCCGCGUGUAUGAAGAAGGCCUUCGGGUUGUAAAGUACUUUCAGCGGGGAGGAAGGCGAUGUGGUUAAUAACCGCGUCGAUUGACGUUACCCGCAGAAGAAGCACCGGCUAACUCCGUGCCAGCCGCCGCCGUAA